CAGCCGCCACGGGAAAACGAGGGGUGCAAGCGUUAUUCGGAUUGAUUGGGUGUAAAGGGUGUGCAGACGGCUUAUUAAGUCACUUGUUAAAUUCUUCGGCCUAACUGAAGGUCUGCAAGUGAUACUGAUGAGCUAGAGGGUGGAAGAGAGAAGUGGAAUUCUCGGAGUAGCGGUAAAAUGCGUAGAUCUCGAGAGGAACACCAAUGGCGAAGGCAGCUUCUUGGUCCAUUCCUGACGUUCAUACACGAAAGCGUGGGGAGCAAACAGGAUUAGAUACCCGCGUAGUCCCUGUCUCUUAUAA
This 301-nucleotide ribosomal RNA is filed under the name uncultured bacterium. RNAcentral's name for it is "partial 16S ribosomal RNA". It matches the Rfam family "Bacterial small subunit ribosomal RNA", at positions 509 to 809 of the family's 1533-position model. The record is from RNAcentral.